GUGACCUCAAAUCAGGUAGGACUACCCGCUGAACUUAAGCAUAUCAAUAAGCGGAGGAAAAGAAACUAACAAGGAUUCCCCUAGUAACUGCGAGUGAAGCGGGAAAAGCUCAAAUUUAAAAUCUGUCAGUCUUUGGCUGUCCGAGUUGUAAUCUAGAGAAGUGUUAUCUGCGUUGGACCGUGUACAAGUCUCCUGGGAUGGAGCGUCAUAGAGGGUGAGAAUCCCGUCUUUGACACGGACUACCAAGGCUUUGUGAUGCGCUCUCAAAGAGUCGAGUUGUUUGGGAAUGCAGCUCAAAAUGGGUGGUAAAUUCCAUCUAAAGCUAAAUAUUGGCGAGAGACCGAUAGCGAACAAGUACCGUGAGGGAAAGAUGAAAAGAACUUUGGAAAGAGAGUUAAACAGUACGUGAAAUUGCUGAAAGGGAAACGCUUGAAGUCAGUCGCGUUGUCCAGGGAUCAACCUUGCUUUUGCUUGGUGUACUUUCUGGUUAACGGGUCAACAUCAAUUUUGAUCAUUGGAAAAAAGUUAAGGGAAUGUGGCAUCUUUGGAUGUGUUAUAGCCUUUGAUUGUAUACAAUGGUUGGGAUUGAGGAACUCAGCACGCCGCAAGGCCGGGUUUUUAACCACGUACGUGCUUAGGAUGUGGCAUA
This 649-nucleotide ribosomal RNA is filed under the name uncultured Cortinarius. Its description in RNAcentral is "eukaryotic LSU rRNA". It matches the Rfam family "Eukaryotic large subunit ribosomal RNA", at positions 1 to 632 of the family's 3401-position model. Lineage: Eukaryota; Fungi; Basidiomycota; Agaricomycetes; Agaricales; Cortinariaceae. The record is from RNAcentral.